Molecule: non-coding RNA, 204 nt
Organism: Pelobates cultripes (western spadefoot toad)
Lineage: Eukaryota; Metazoa; Chordata; Amphibia; Anura; Pelobatidae
Source: the annotation of a GenBank genome assembly
CUCCAUUCAUUGUUUCAUAUGGUGUCCACGUAGCUGUACAUAAGCAGUGACAAAGCUUGGGCACUCUUAGACUGCAGAACAUGGAAAGUAGAGAUUUGUAUGGUGAAUAUCCAGACAGUAUGCACAUGCUGUGAGCUGGAAUUGUAUUUAAAGGGAUCCUAUAGUGCCAGGAAAACAAAGGAUUUCCCCAUAGGAAAGCAUUAA